Molecule: long non-coding RNA, 2153 nt
Organism: Photinus pyralis (common eastern firefly)
Lineage: Eukaryota; Metazoa; Arthropoda; Insecta; Coleoptera; Lampyridae
Exons: 3
Source: RefSeq, a predicted model, not a curated record
GUUCACGGUUGUUCUUGUUUUACAAACAACUAAUGUGGCUGUUGUAUGUUGUGUUGUGUUGUGUUUAGAUUUGCCAAAUGGAGGAAUAUUGCAAAUCGAGCACGUAGCGUAGUGCAAUUAAUCUAUUCACGUGGAGAUACAAUGAGUCAGAUUCCUAUUUGGGAGGAUUUUAAAAGAAUCUCUUACCUAAGGAUGUUAUUUUAGUGACUGGGAGUAGAAAAAUAAGGAUUCGUUAAAGAGAUCCAAACUGUAAUAGGAUUUGGUCAAAUUGGAAUCGUAGUAGCCAGUAGCCAUUGUUUCUCUGAAUACAAAAUGUCUUCAUAUCAGAUAAGUUUUACAUUAAUUAUUAGGGGUUGAUGGGAUGGAUUAUAAUUUAUAUUUUUGCAGUUCCAUAACACGAGUUGUCAAAUUAAAAUCUACCUAACAAAUUGGUAAAAGUAUUAAUUAACAGGUACCUACCUACUACAAGGAUAAUACAGGACGGGGGAGGGGUGCACACAAAUUAUUGUAUUAAAAACAGAGCUGGCGUAUUAGGAGGUCAAAGACAUAGAGGCGUUGUCCAUUUAGUCGUCGAGUGACAAAUAGUAAAGAGACGCAACUAUAAUGUAAAAUUGCGGUACACAUUCCCCAUCACACUGACCGUCCACAGUAGGAGUGGUGUGACCGUGGUAGACGUGCGACUCUGGUGCUUAAAAUCGCUCAAUAACACGAAAGAUAACGGGGAUCAAAAAUGAGUUGCUGCGAGUCACCGUUGGAAGUUCAAGUUAAGUACGAUUUCCUAUGUAAACAAAAAUUCUAAAGGUGACUCGACAGCAAUUCAGUUUUGAUCGCACAGUAGGUAGUAUAAUCGUUUGGUGCCGAUUGAGUUAGGUACGAUCACAAUGCACAACCGGCAUCAUAAUUUGCACUUCAUAAGUAGAUCACCUUGUUGUACGAAAAGAGGGGGGUGGGAUACAUGCUCGCACAGCUUAGUAUCGGGCGAUCAAAAAUGCGUUGCUCUCAAGUUGCCUUUGGAAGUUCAAGUGAAGUACGAAAUCUCAUUUAAACAAAAUUUCCAAAGGUGACUCGCCGAUGACUCAUUUUUGAUAGCAAGCGCCUACUACGUUAAUAUUUCAUGAGUUUUUUUUGUUACAGACUCGCCGAAUUCAAACACGCUUGGAACACGUUUAGGGAGUUGUUUUUUACAGAAUGGAUGCAAUAGAAUGAAUUACGUACCUCUUUUUGAUGGAGUGGAGCUCCCAAACAGGCACUCUCUUCUUCAAAAACUUUGCAAGAGAGCUUGGUUGUAAGGGCUUUGUUGCCAAGUGGAUUUGCUACAUUUGAACUACUCAUCGUUAAUAUUUUAAUGUUUUUAGCAAUUGAAUUUUGUAAACUGGCACGGGAUUAACGCGUUAUCACUAAUUAGAAUGCUCUGCAAGAAUAUUUGCGCCGGCUUUCAAGUGGAGGGCCCUUUCGUGUCGUAACUACUGCGCUCCGUUUCAUGCAUGCGCAGAUUCAAAGAGAGCCGAGACGUUUAAGGUUUCGGUUACAGAGUUGAUUGUUGUUAAUGAGAGAUAAACAAAAUGAAAUGGAUUACCUACCUUUAAAAUGCGAUGAGGCGCUUUAUCUGGCACUUACAGUUGCAGUUUGAACAGCUUGAAACGCAACCGCCAUUUUUGUAGAAAAAGAUAUCUUGGACGCUGUUGCCAAGUCUAACUUUUGGCUGCAUUUUAUACUGCGUGCUCAAUUUUUGAUAUGCUUCUCUUAAAGACCUUUGUCAAUUAAUGUUACCGCUGACUAACCAGAUCCACUGCAUGCGCCAUAAAACUUGGGCACCGGACCAAAGUGGACAGGCAGAAUACUGAAGAAUUUUUUUCUUUUGGCGACUCUUUAAGUGCAGUAAAAAUUCUUGCAGCCCGUAAAAGCCUCUUCUGGGAUUGGUAAGGGCUCUCUUAAAGACUUCACAGCAAUGCUUUUAAAAAUCCUUAAUUCGCUCUAAGAGUGUUGAAGAACCUUUACGAGACCUUAAUAUGGGCUACCAAGAACCACAAAGUCUUGAAGAGUAAUGGAAUUUGAUGCUACACGGUCGUUAUACAAAGUACAAACGUUUAUAGUUUUAUCCUGUAUAAUCUGUUACGUUUUUCUGUGUAAUAAAAAUUAUUGUUAUCCUCAUG